This 497-nucleotide ribosomal RNA is filed under the name uncultured bacterium. RNAcentral describes it as "partial 16S ribosomal RNA". It matches the Rfam family "Bacterial small subunit ribosomal RNA", at positions 28 to 507 of the family's 1533-position model. The record is from RNAcentral.
GAUGAACGCUGGCGGCGUGCCUAAUACAUGCAAGUCGAGCGAACAGAUAAGGAGCUUGCUCCUUUGACGUUAGCGGCGGACGGGUGAGUAACACGUGGGUAACCUACCUAUAAGACUGGGAUAACUUCGGGAAACCGGAGCUAAUACCGGAUAACAUUUGGAACCGCAUGGUUCUAAAGUGAAGGAUGGUUUUGCUAUCACUUAUAGAUGGACCCGCGCCGUAUUAGCUAGUUGGUAAGGUAACGGCUUACCAAGGCAACGAUACGUAGCCGACCUGAGAGGGUGAUCGGCCACACUGGAACUGAGACACGGUCCAGACUCCUACGGGAGGCAGCAGUAGGGAAUCUUCCGCAAUGGGCGAAAGCCUGACGGAGCAACGCCGCGUGAGUGAUGAAGGGUUUCGGCUCGUAAAACUCUGUUAUUAGGGAAGAACAAACGUGUAAGUAACUGUGCACGUCUUGACGGUACCUAAUCAGAAAGCCACGGCUAACUACGUG